UAUAAAAUUGUAAAACACGGAACCGGCCGUCACCCGGGCUGCACAGCAGUACAUUCUACCGCAUUGGAUCAUACCAUUACUAUUAUAAUUAUCAUCAUCAUUAUUAUAAUUAUUAUUAUUAUUAUUAUUAUUAUUAUUAUUAUUGUUACUAUUGUUAUUAUUAUUAUUAUUAUUACUAUUAUUGUUUCUCAACGACUCAAUAAAGGCCCAUUGGUACGCGUCACUAAUUAGGCUGACAGCAGCAGGCACUUUCCUCGGAGAGCGCCCUGCAAAUUCCGAAAUUAGCCAAAUGCCUCGUCAUCUAAUUAGUGACGCGUAUGAAUGGAUCAACAAGAUUCCUUCUGUCCCUAUCUACUAUCUAGCGAAACCACAGCCAAGGGAACGGGCUUGGCAAAAUCAGCGGGGAAAGAAGACCCUGUUGAGCUUGACUCUAGUCUGACUCUGUGAA
Molecule: non-coding RNA, 448 nt
Filed under: Trichinella britovi
Lineage: Eukaryota; Metazoa; Nematoda; Enoplea; Trichinellida; Trichinellidae
Description: Eukaryotic large subunit ribosomal RNA
Rfam family: Eukaryotic large subunit ribosomal RNA
Source: Rfam by way of RNAcentral